UUAAAUUGAAGAGUUUGAUCAUGGCUCAGAUUGAACGCUGGCGGCAGGCCUAACACAUGCAAGUCGAACGGUAACAGGAAGCAGCUUGCUGCUUUGCUGACGAGUGGCGGACGGGUGAGUAAUGUCUGGGAAACUGCCUGAUGGAGGGGGAUAACUACUGGAAACGGUAGCUAAUACCGCAUAACGUCGCAAGACCAAAGAG
This 202-nucleotide ribosomal RNA is filed under the name Escherichia coli. RNAcentral's name for it is "partial 16S ribosomal RNA". It matches the Rfam family "Bacterial small subunit ribosomal RNA", at positions 1 to 208 of the family's 1533-position model. Lineage: Bacteria; Pseudomonadati; Pseudomonadota; Gammaproteobacteria; Enterobacterales; Enterobacteriaceae. The record is from RNAcentral.